This 174-nucleotide non-coding RNA is filed under the name Colius striatus (speckled mousebird). Its description in RNAcentral is "Eukaryotic large subunit ribosomal RNA". It matches the Rfam family "Eukaryotic large subunit ribosomal RNA", at positions 2825 to 2986 of the family's 3401-position model. The record is from Rfam by way of RNAcentral. Lineage: Eukaryota; Metazoa; Chordata; Aves; Coliiformes; Coliidae.
GAUUACUGGCUUGUGGUGGCCAAGCAUUUGUAGCAACGUUACUUUUUGAGCCUUGGAUGUUGGCUCUUCCUAUCAUUGUGAAGAGGAAUUCCACAACUGUUGGAUUGUUUGCUCACUAAUAGGGAACGUGAGCUGGCAUUACACUGUUGGGAUUAGACUAUCGAGGGACAGCUU